UCCCCGGUAGUCCAGUGGUUAGGACUUGGCACUUUCACUGCCGGGACCCAAGUUCAAUCCUUGGUUGGGGAA
Lipotes vexillifer (Yangtze River dolphin) is the source of this 72-nucleotide non-coding RNA. The record is from the annotation of a RefSeq genome assembly. Lineage: Eukaryota; Metazoa; Chordata; Mammalia; Artiodactyla; Lipotidae.